Molecule: ribosomal RNA, 501 nt
Filed under: uncultured bacterium
Lineage: Bacteria
Description: partial 16S ribosomal RNA
Rfam family: Bacterial small subunit ribosomal RNA
Source: RNAcentral
AUUGAAAGCUGGCGGCAGGCUUAACACAUGCAAGUCGAGCGGGGGAAGGUAGCUUGCUACCGGACCUAGCGGCGGACGGGUGAGUAAUGCUUAGGAAUCUGCCUAUUAGUGGGGGACAACAUCUCGAAAGGGAUGCUAAUACCGCAUACGUCCUACGGGAGAAAGCAGGGGAUCUUCGGACCUUGCGCUAAUAGAUGAGCCUAAGUCGGAUUAGCUAGUUGGUGGGGUAAAGGCCUACCAAGGCGACGAUCUGUAGCGGGUCUGAGAGGCUGAUCCGCCACACUGGGACUGAGACACGGCCCAGACUCCUAUUGGAGGCAGCAGUGGGGAAUAUUGGACAAUGGGGAGAACCCUGAUCUAGCCAUUCCGCGUGUGUGAAGAAGGCCUUAUGGUUGUAAAGCACUUUAAGCGAGGAGGAGGCUACUUUAGUUAAUACCUAGAGAUAGUGGACGUUACUCGCAGAAUAAGCACCGGCUAACUCUGUGCCAGCCGCCGCGGUAA